GUGAAUUAAACAUGCUUGGUGUCUUCGCUUCGGCAAGACCCUUGCUUAAAUCACAUCCUAACACCUGUGAACUGUAAGGCGUAUGAUAAAGCUUCGGCUGCAUCGUCGUCUGCCCUUUUUAACAAACAAUUAAUGUAACAAACGUAGUCUUAUUAUAACCUAAUA
RNAcentral lists this unclassified non-coding RNA (165 nucleotides) under uncultured Tremellales. RNAcentral's name for it is "sequence contains ITS1". Lineage: Eukaryota; Fungi; Basidiomycota; Tremellomycetes; Tremellales. The record is from RNAcentral.